This 444-nucleotide long non-coding RNA is filed under the name Homo sapiens (human). RNAcentral's name for it is "HSALNT0353210". The record is from RNAcentral. Lineage: Eukaryota; Metazoa; Chordata; Mammalia; Primates; Hominidae.
AGAUCACAGGGCUAUACUUCCAUCAUCUCCAUACUUGCUGGGAGAUUGAGUAAUUGGUGUCUGGAUGUGCGUGUGCUGCUUCCCAAAAUACCUCUUUAAAAAGACGUGAGAGGGAUGCGGAGCCAGUAGAAAUGACUGAUUUUGAAGAUUGAGAAUUAGGAAUAUUGUACAGAUGCUGUCAUUCCUACAUGAAGGAGGCAGAAGAAUGUAGCAAGCUCAGCUCUCUAAUGCCAGGAGUGGCACUUUCAGUGACCAGAGCUCCCUGGGUCCUCUGUGUAUCCCUCCCCUGUCAACUGAUUCAACAGAGGCUGGGCUGGUCCUGGCAUUAGCACAUUUUUGAAUCUGCCUUUGGCUGUGACUUCACCCAAAGACAGAAAGGGGAAGUUUCUGGUCUACAUAGCCAACAUGUGGUCUUGAUAAUAAAUCAUUGCUUGUUUGGAAGAA